GACGAACGCUGGCGGCGUGCUUAACACAUGCAAGUCGAACGGAAAGGCCCUGCCUUUGUGGGGUGCUCGAGUGGCGAACGGGUGAGUAACACGUGAGUAACCUGCCCUUGACUUUGGGAUAACUUCAGGAAACUGGGGCUAAUACUGGAUAGGAGCUCCUGCUGCAUGGUGGGGGUUGGAAAGUUUCGGCGGUUGGGGAUGGACUCGCGGCUUAUCAGCUUGUUGGUGGGGUAGUGGCUUACCAAGGCUUUGACGGGUAGCCGGCCUGAGAGGGUGACCGGCCACAUUGGGACUGAGAUACGGCCCAGACUCCUACGGGAGGCAGCAGUGGGGAAUAUUGCACAAUGGGCGGAAGCCUGAUGCAGCAACGCCGCGUGCGGGAUGACGGCCUUCGGGUUGUAAACCGCUUUCGCCUGUGACGAAGCGUGAGUGACGGUAAUGGGUAAAGAAGCACCGGCUAACUACGUG
This 468-nucleotide ribosomal RNA is filed under the name uncultured bacterium. RNAcentral's name for it is "partial 16S ribosomal RNA". It matches the Rfam family "Bacterial small subunit ribosomal RNA", at positions 28 to 507 of the family's 1533-position model. The record is from RNAcentral.